This 464-nucleotide ribosomal RNA is filed under the name uncultured bacterium. RNAcentral describes it as "partial 16S ribosomal RNA". It matches the Rfam family "Bacterial small subunit ribosomal RNA", at positions 339 to 795 of the family's 1533-position model. The record is from RNAcentral.
CCACGGGGUGCUCCAGUGGGGAAUAUUGCACAAUGGGCGCAAGCCUGAUGCAGCCAUGCCGCGUGUAUGAAGAAGGCCUUCGGGUUGUAAAGUACUUUCAGCGGGGAGGAAGGGAGUAAAGUUAAUACCUUUGCUCAUUGACGUUACCUGCAGAAGAAGCACCGGCUAACUCCGUGCCAGCAGCCGCGGUAAUACGGAGGGUGCAAGCGUUAAUCGGAAUUACUGGGCGUAAAGCGCACGCAGGCGGUUUGUUAAGUCAGAUGUGAAAUCCCCGGGCUCAACCUGGGAACUGCAUCUGAUACUGGCAAGCUUGAGUCUCGUAGAGGGGGGUAGAAUUCCAGGUGUAGCGGUGAAAUGCGUAGAGAUCUGGAGGAAUACCGGUGGCGAAGGCGGCCCCCUGGACGAAGACUGACGCUCAGGUGCGAAAGCGUGGGGAGCAAACAGGAUUAGAUACCCCCGUAGUC